Long non-coding RNA from Diceros bicornis minor, 932 nucleotides. RefSeq lists it as uncharacterized. Lineage: Eukaryota; Metazoa; Chordata; Mammalia; Perissodactyla; Rhinocerotidae. The record is from RefSeq and is a predicted model, not a curated record. The transcript is spliced from 3 exons.
GAAAGGCCGUGUGAAGCCACAGCAAGAAGGUGACUGUCUACAAGCCGGGAAGAGAACUCUCACCAGAAACCAGAUUUGCUGGCACCUUGAUCUUGGACUUCCAGCCUCCAGAACUACUGGCCCUGGGCUAACAUCCGUGCCCCUCUUCCUCCGCUGUAUAUGGGACGCCGCCACAGCAUGGCCUGACAAGCAGUGCGUCUGUGGGCAAACGGGAUCCGAAGCGGUGAACCCCGGGCCGGCGCAGCGGAGCACGCGCAUUUAACCGCUUGCGCCACCAGGCUGGCCCCUCAGCCCUGUGUUUUAACAAGGCUUCCAGAUGAUUCUGAGGCACACUCAAGUCGGAGAACCUCUGGGUUAAGAUGCGCCAGCAGGUGAAGAAGUUUUGGGAGCCUGCCUGAGAAGCAUGUGACAGGGAGAAACACUGAGGAAUGAUGUCACCUACUAAAGGAAGCUUUCACUCUUCCAGGCUCAGACAAGUGUCUACCCCAACUUGGAGAGCGUGUUUCCACAGAUCCCCCAAGUAACCUGGCUUGGAAACUAACACAGUGUUCAAAUCCUUUUGCCCAGCAUGAACCUGUCGUGUUUCAGCACAGGCCCCCUACUUUGGUCGGCAGGGAGGAGGAAUGGAGAAAGCACUCCGCUGAGCUGAGGGAUGUCUGUGGAAGGAAGCCCACCAUUGUACCACCAGGCUGGGCCUGGAGCAGCGUGGCCAGAGGGCACCCCGAGGGCCACAGGAGUGUUCACGAUUCCACACUGGAGCAGCCUCUGGUGAAAAACAGUCUUCUUUCCCAUUUUACAGAAAUUGUGCAGACGGUUAAGCUGAGUCAGCACGUUCACCAACCAUCCCGUUAUUUGGCCUGGAAGUGUCACUAGAAAUGUGAAGGUUGUUGAUGGCUGACGUUUCACCACUGCCCGGGCUGUGCUGCCCAGAC